This 253-nucleotide ribosomal RNA is filed under the name uncultured bacterium. RNAcentral describes it as "partial 16S ribosomal RNA". It matches the Rfam family "Bacterial small subunit ribosomal RNA", at positions 524 to 776 of the family's 1533-position model. The record is from RNAcentral.
UACGGAGGGUGCAAGCGUUGUCCGGAAUCACUGGGCGUAAAGGGCGCGUCGGCGGCUCGGUAAGUAGGGGGUGAAAUCCUGCGGCUUAACCGCAGGGCUGCCUUCUAAACUGUCGAGCUUGAGCACGGUAGAGGCAGAUGGAAUUCCCGGUGUAGCGGUGGAAUGCGUAGAGAUCGGGAAGAACAUCAGUGGCGAAGGCGGUCUGCUGGGCCGUUGCUGACGCUGAGGCGCGACAGCGUGGGGAGCAAACAGG